RNAcentral lists this unclassified non-coding RNA (1359 nucleotides) under Bombus terrestris (buff-tailed bumblebee). RNAcentral describes it as "misc RNA ENSBTSG00005035529.1". The record is from RNAcentral. Lineage: Eukaryota; Metazoa; Arthropoda; Insecta; Hymenoptera; Apidae.
GGGUCUUUAAAACUUUCGUCGAAGUUGCCGGAUACCGCGUAAAUGUUUCACUGCUUUAGACGUUUCCGAGCAGGAAGUAGGUGUUGAAGAUUUAGUUUCCAGCGGCGUGGACGAGAGGAAAAGGAUUUUUAAGUACUCCAGCCAUCGACGGAAACCCGCAGGAAAGUGGAAAUCGACCGUGGGGGAUCAGACAAUUUCCUUUCCCGUCGAAGUAACGCCCACUCUUGGCUUCUUCGUUUCUCUCUUUCUAACCGACGAAACUUGCGAGUUUACUUUAAGAACCGGCCCCGGCUUUCGUACUUAAGCACGAUACCGGCUCAAGAAGUUGACAGAGAACUGUUUUCCUCUUAUUUUGUAUCGGGAACGAGCGAUCCGAUGAAUCUGCAAUUUUAUAAGCUUCUCGGUGUCUUCCUGUUGUUGCUGCACGAGCUGGCAAUUAUUGCAACAUGGUGUCUAACGUAAGUCAUAGCUGUACCUGGAAAGGAAAGAAUUUUUCACAAUGAAGAAUAACGUAGCUGCUGCUGCAUUUGUGCGCCAUAUAUGUAUUUAACAGAACAUGGUUGGGCAAAUAUACCAUUGCAUUCUGUUUCUGAUUACACCAAGGACAGAAGCAAGGACAAUAUGCAAGAAAAGAGAUUUUUAAUAAAGCCGGAUCUUAUACGAGUAUUCUUUGCAAGAUAAGCUCCUUUUACUAUAAACAAGAAUAUAGUAUUAUACUAGUAAUUUGUUUACCCUUGUUGUCUUUGAAGUUACUGCUUCAAUCAGAUUCAAAGAACACUGAAAUAAUUUUAAAUUUAUACACUUCGCUAUACAUUUUGAUUUUGUAAUGCAAGUGUCCCUAAUUAUUUAUCUUUUGCAUUCGUUCAUCGUUUAUUUCGUUUAAAAAUAAAAAAACUUGAGAAUUAAGAUAUAUGGACACAUUUCUAGGAAGAAUCAAGAAAAAGUUGAUCAACCGAUCAAUUCGUUUAUUCCGUUUCUUGCAGAAGGAAUUUUAUCGACGUGCAGGUGCUUGUUAUUUUCCGAACGCUGUUUAGUCGAACAAUUUUAUUGCCGCUGAAUUAAAUUCCUUCUCAGUUAGAUCUGAGAAUUCCAGGCGAGAAUACAACGUCUGCCGCAAAGGAAUUUCCGUAUUACUCAUCAUCCUCGUGCAUGUCGAACAUUCUUUUUCGAGACGAGCCUUGUCACACUUUUCGACGCAUAUGUAAAAUUCAAUUAAAUCCUAUUUGAUAAUGUCUCUAUUCUAAAAUAUAACUCUUGUUAUAAUAUCUGACGCGGGUGAAACAAAUUUCUGCUUACAAUUAGUUCCACUUCUUUUAAAUUUAAUAUAAAUUUGCAUAAAAAUGUGCAUUGUAAUCGCGA